RNAcentral lists this small nucleolar RNA (72 nucleotides) under Marmota marmota marmota (Alpine marmot). Its description in RNAcentral is "Small nucleolar RNA SNORD113/SNORD114 family (ENSMMMG00000003180.1)". It matches the Rfam family "Small nucleolar RNA SNORD113/SNORD114 family". From Rfam's summary of the family: The imprinted human domain at 14q32 contains two clusters of tandemly repeated small nucleolar RNAs named 14q(I) and 14q(II) snoRNAs. These two clusters are named SNORD113 and SNORD114 respectively in the HGNC approved gene symbol nomenclature. The snoRNAs found in both clusters are clearly related and are represented here by a single family. Lineage: Eukaryota; Metazoa; Chordata; Mammalia; Rodentia; Sciuridae. The record is from Rfam by way of RNAcentral.
UGGAUCAAUGAUGACCACUGGUGGCAUAUGAGUCAUGGAUGAUGACUGUGGGUCUGGAUAUCUGAGGUCCAA